RNAcentral lists this ribosomal RNA (497 nucleotides) under uncultured bacterium. Its description in RNAcentral is "partial 16S ribosomal RNA". It matches the Rfam family "Bacterial small subunit ribosomal RNA", at positions 28 to 507 of the family's 1533-position model. The record is from RNAcentral.
GAUGAACGCUGGCGGCGUGCCUAAUACAUGCCAGUCGAGCGAACGGACGAGAAGCUUGCUUCUCUGAUGUUAGCGGCGGACGGGUGAGUAACACGUGGAUAACCUACCUAUAAGACUGGGAUAACUUCGGGAAACCGGAGCUAAUACCGGAUGAUAUUUUGAACCGCAUGGUUCAAAAGUGAAAGACGGUCUUGCUGUCACUUAUAGAUGGAUCCGCGCUGCAUUAGCUAGUUGGUAAGGUAACGGUUUACCAAGGCAACGAUGCAUAGCCGACCUGGGAGGGUGAUCGGCCACACUGGAACUGAGACACGGUCCAGACUCCUACGGGAGGCAGCAGUAGGGAAUCUGCCGCAAUGGGCGAAAGCCUGACGGAGCAACGCCGCGUGAGUGAUGAAGGUCUUCGGAUCGUAAAACUCUGUUAUUAGGGAAGAACAUAUGUGUAAGUAACUGUGCACAUCUUGACGGUACCUAAUCAGAAAGCCACGGCUAACUACGUG